UCAGGACGAACGCUGGCGGCGUGCUUAACACAUGCAAGUCGAACGAGGCCCAAGCGUCAGCAAUGACGUGGAAGGCCUAGUGGCGAACGGGUGAGUAACACGUGAGGAACCUACCCCGGACUCAGGGAUAACAGACGGAAACAUCUGCUAAUACCUGAUGCCGUCGGAGCAUCACAUGGUGCACUGACGAAAGAAUCUCGGUUCGGGAGGGCCUCGCGGCCUAUCAGCUAGUUGGUGGGGUAACGGCCUACCAAGGCAUCGACGGGUAGCUGGUCUGAGAGGAUGAUCAGCCACACUGGGACUGAGACACGGCCCAGACUCCUACGGGAGGCAGCAGUGGGGAAUCUUGCGCAAUGGGCGAAAGCCUGACGCAGCAACGCCGCGUGCGGGAAGAAGGCCUUAGGGUUGUAAACCGCUUUCAGUAGGAACGAAAAUGACGGUACCUGCAGAAGAAGGUGCGGCCAACUACGUGCCAGCAGCCGCGGUGACACGUAGGCACCAAGCGUUGUCCGGAUUUAUUGGGCGUAAAGAGCUCGUAGGCGGUUCAGUAAGUCGGGUGUGAAAACUCUGGGCUUAACCCAGAGCCGCCACUCGAUACUGCCGUGACUUGAGUUCGGUAGGGGAGCAGGGAAUUCCUAGUGUAGCGGUGAAAUGCGCAGAUAUUAGGAGGAACACCGGUGGCGAAGGCGCUGCUCUGGGCCGAUACUGACGCUGAGGAGCGAAAGCGUGGGUAGCAAACAGGAUUAGAUACCCUGGUAGUCCACGCCGUAAACGUUGGGCACUAGGUGUGGGUUCCAACCAACGGAAUCCGCGCCGUCGCUAACGCAUUAAGUGCCCCGCCUGGGGAGUACGGCGGCAACGCUAAAACU
RNAcentral lists this ribosomal RNA (869 nucleotides) under uncultured bacterium. RNAcentral's name for it is "bacterial SSU rRNA". It matches the Rfam family "Bacterial small subunit ribosomal RNA", at positions 24 to 901 of the family's 1533-position model. The record is from RNAcentral.